Molecule: ribosomal RNA, 492 nt
Filed under: uncultured bacterium
Lineage: Bacteria
Description: partial 16S ribosomal RNA
Rfam family: Bacterial small subunit ribosomal RNA
Source: RNAcentral
AGUGAACGCUGGCGGUAGGCCUAACACAUGCAAGUCGAACGGCAGCACAGUAAGAGCUUGCUCUUACGGGUGGCGAGUGGCGGACGGGUGAGGAAUACAUCGGAAUCUACUUUUUCGUGGGGGAUAACGUAGGGAAACUUACGCUAAUACCGCAUACGACCUACGGGUGAAAGCAGGGGAUCUUCGUACCUUGCGCGAUUGAAUGAGCCGAUGUCGGAUUAGCUAGUUGGCGGGGUAAAGGCCCACCAAGGCGACGAUCCGUAGCUGGUCUGAGAGGAUAAUCAGCCACACUGGAACUGAGACACGGUCCAGACUCCUACGGGAGGCAGCGGUGGGGAAUAUUGGACAAGGGGCGCAAGCCUGAUCCAGCCAUACCGCGUGGGUGAAGAAGGCCUUCGGGUUGUAAAUCCCUUUUGUUGGGAAAGAAAAGCAGCAGGUUAAUACCCCGCUGUUCUGACGGUACCCAAAGAAUAAGCACCGGCUAACUUCGUG